GACGAACGCUAGCGGCGGGCUUAAUACAUGCAAGUCAGGGGGGCAGCAAUGCUCACCGGCGUACGGGUGCGUAACACGUAUAUAACAUACCCUUUGGGGGAGGAUACACUUAAGAAAUUGAGGAUAAAACUCCGUAAGCUAAUGAUAAGGCAUCUUAUUAUUAGGAAGUUUUCCAUGGGAUUGGUAUGCGUCUGAUUAGGUAGUUGGUGAGGUAAGGGCUCACCAAGCCGACGAUCAGUAGCUGGUCUAAGAGGAUGAUCAGCCACACUGGCACUGAGACACGGGCCAGACUCCUACGGGAGGCAGCAGUAGGGAAUAUUGGUCAAUGGGCGAGAGCCUGAACCAGCCACGCCGCGUGCAGGAAGAAGGUUCUCUGGAUCGUAAACUGCUUUUAUCAGGGGAUAAAGAGAGGCUAUAUGCCUAAAUGAAGGUACCUGAUGAAUAAGCCACGGCUAACUACGUGCCAGCAGCCGCGGUAAU
This 480-nucleotide ribosomal RNA is filed under the name uncultured bacterium. Its description in RNAcentral is "bacterial SSU rRNA". It matches the Rfam family "Bacterial small subunit ribosomal RNA", at positions 28 to 524 of the family's 1533-position model. The record is from RNAcentral.